Molecule: non-coding RNA, 71 nt
Organism: Caenorhabditis brenneri
Lineage: Eukaryota; Metazoa; Nematoda; Chromadorea; Rhabditida; Rhabditidae
Source: the annotation of a GenBank genome assembly
GCACACGCGGCGCAGUGGAUAGCACUGUUGUUUUUGAAAUUUUAGACGCGGGUUCGAACCCCAUCGGGUCA